AGAGUGAGCGCUCAGGUGUAUAUAUAAGAUUACAUAUCGUCGCAAAUUCGUCCUAAGUUUACGACGAAAUAGCGAGCAGUUACAAAGGCCCGUAUUUUUUUUCUUACGAGGAAAUUGCGAGGAAUCACAAAGGCCCGUGUUUUUGUUUACGAGGUAUUAACGACGAUUUUGCAUACGUGGAAUUAACGAGACUUGCUUUCC
RNAcentral lists this long non-coding RNA (201 nucleotides) under Brassica napus (rape). RNAcentral describes it as "long non-coding RNA (BNAP_LNC021498)". Lineage: Eukaryota; Viridiplantae; Streptophyta; Magnoliopsida; Brassicales; Brassicaceae. The record is from RNAcentral.